UACGUAGGGUGCAAGCGUUGUCCGGAAUUAUUGGGCGUAAAGAGCUCGUAGGCGGUCUGUCGCGUCGGAUGUGAAAAUCCAGGGCUUAACCCUGGACCUGCAUUCGAUACGGGCAGACUAGAGUUCGGUAGGGGAGACUGGAAUUCCUGGUGUAGCGGUGAAAUGCGCAGAUAUCAAGCAGAACACCUGCGGCGAAGGCGGCCUUCUGGACGAUGACUGACGCUGAGACACGAAAGCGUGGGGAGCAAACAGG
RNAcentral lists this ribosomal RNA (253 nucleotides) under uncultured bacterium. RNAcentral describes it as "partial 16S ribosomal RNA". It matches the Rfam family "Bacterial small subunit ribosomal RNA", at positions 524 to 776 of the family's 1533-position model. The record is from RNAcentral.